GAUGAACGCUAGCGGGAGGCUUAACACAUGCAAGUCGAGGGGCAGCAGUGGGGUAGCAAUACCCUGAUGGCGACCGGCAAACGGGUGAGUAACGCGUAUGUAACCUACCCUGUACAGGGGGAUAACCCGGAGAAAUUCGGACUAAUAUCCCAUAACAAUAUCUGGAGGCAUCUUUGGAUAUUUAAAGUUCCGGCGGUACGGGAUGGGCAUGCGUAACAUUAGCUAGUUGGUAAGGUAACGGCUUACCAAGGCUUUGAUGUUUAGGGGUCCUGAGAGGGUGGUCCCCCACACUGGUACUGAGACACGGACCAGACUCCUACGGGAGGCAGCAGUGAGGAAUAUUGGUCAAUGGGCGCAAGCCUGAACCAGCCAUCCCGCGUGCAGGAAGACGGCCCUAUGGGUUGUAAACUGCUUUUCCAGGGAGAGAAACUUGCGCACGUGUUGCGCAAUUGACGGUACCCUGGGAAUAAGCAUCGGCUAACUCCGUG
Molecule: ribosomal RNA, 488 nt
Filed under: uncultured bacterium
Lineage: Bacteria
Description: bacterial SSU rRNA
Rfam family: Bacterial small subunit ribosomal RNA
Source: RNAcentral